GAAUCGUAGGCAAAUUUGUAGUGUAAACCCAGAAAGAUUACAAAAGGAAGAAAAAAGAAAAGAUAUCGCCGAAACAAGUUCGCAUUUGCGUAGGCACCGAGGAGGAUGGAAUGAAGAUUUCCUCGCAUCAGCGGCAUCUGGAUCGUUCAGCGAUAAACAGAUAUAGUAGGAUGCAAAAAAUACCGCAUAUCAUCACAUUCUGCUGACCUAUAGUGGCACACGCAGUGGACCUUUAAAAAGCAGAGGAGUGAUCAGCAUGGUGCUCCGGAUCAGGCAGUGGUUCCACAACCCUAUAGGAGGAUGGAGGAGACCCCAAGGAAGAGGGAGUAUGUGCUCAAGGAGCAGAUCAGUCUUUGCGUUACCACUAAGUCAAAGUGGCGUCGAUAGCAUCCAUAGUUUGACCUACAAGCCUUCUACAUCUUCGCUCGACUCUACGGAUAAUCUAGUAAGAGUGCUGCCUCAUGAGGAUCAAAAAUUAUUUCAACAGGGGUUUACACUGAAUCUAAUAUGGUUUUACUGAUGAAACAGAUCUCUAAUAUUACAACGUUGUUUUGUUAUUCCAG
Molecule: long non-coding RNA, 563 nt
Organism: Leptidea sinapis
Lineage: Eukaryota; Metazoa; Arthropoda; Insecta; Lepidoptera; Pieridae
Exons: 3
Source: RefSeq, a predicted model, not a curated record